Molecule: ribosomal RNA, 972 nt
Filed under: uncultured crenarchaeote
Lineage: Archaea; Thermoproteati; Thermoproteota
Description: bacterial SSU rRNA
Rfam family: Archaeal small subunit ribosomal RNA
Source: RNAcentral
AAUUCCAGCUCCUCGAGUGGUGGGGACUAUUAUUUGGCCUAAAGCGUUCGUAGCCUGUCCAGUAAGUCUUCUGUUAAAUCCAACGAUCCAAUCGUUGGGCUGCGGGAGAUACUAAAGGACUAGGGGGCGGAAGAAGCCGACGGUACUCCUGGGGUAGGGGUGAAAUCCUAUAAUCCUAGGCGGACCACCAGUGGCGAAGGCGGUCGGCUAGAACGCGCCCGACGGUGAGGGACGAAAGCUGGGGGAGCGAUCCGGAUUAGAUACCCGGGUAGUCCCAGCUGUAGACGAUGCAGGCUAGGUGUUAGCAUGACUAUGAGUUAUGUUAGUGCCGAAGGGAAGCUGUUAAGCCUGCCGCCUGGGAAGUACGGUUGCAAGACUGAAACUUAAAGGAAUUGGCGGGGGAGCACCACAAGGGGUGAAGCUUGCGGUUUAAUUGGAGUCAACGCCGGGAACCUUACCGGAGGAGACAGCAGAAUGAAGGCCAGAUUGAAGGUCUUGCUAAACAAGCUGAGAGGAGGCGCAUGGCCGUCGCCAGUUCGUGCCGUGAGGUGUCCUGUUAAGUCAGGCAACGAUCGAGACCCACGCUUCUUGUUGCCAUCGGCACUCCGAUUGGAGGCCAGGCACACUAGAGGGACCGCCGCCGAUAAGGCGGAGGAAGGGGUGGGCCACGGCAGGUCAGUAUGCCCCGAAUUCUCCGGGCCACACGCGAGCUGCAAUGGUAGGGACAAUAGGUUCCGACUUCGAAAGUAGAAGGUAAUCCUUAAACCCUGCCUCAGUUGGAAUCGAGGGCUGCAACCCGCCCUCGUGAAUCAUGGAAUCCCUAGUAAUCGCGCGUCAUCAUCGCGCGGUGAAUACGUCCCCGCUCCUUGCACACACCGCCCGUCGCUCCAUCCGAGUGAAGUUUGGGUGAGGCGUGGUCCAUUGGGCUGCGUCGAAUCUGGGUUUUGCAAGGAGGGAGAAGUCGUAACAAGG